RNAcentral lists this long non-coding RNA (213 nucleotides) under Nicotiana benthamiana. RNAcentral describes it as "long non-coding RNA (NBEN_LNC000436)". Lineage: Eukaryota; Viridiplantae; Streptophyta; Magnoliopsida; Solanales; Solanaceae. The record is from RNAcentral.
CUGCAAGAAAAAAAUAAGUAAAUUAAGAAUUGCAGCUGAAUAAAAUGAUAAACUUAAAGUUUCCUUGUUCUAAUAUGAUUCUUAUUAUCAACACCGUCCAGCUUAUGUUAAAACAAUUGAUUAAAAUUAAAAUAUGAGAGAGAGAAAGAGAAAUCAUCACUCCAGUAGUUAUAUGGAACAACAACAAUUACGCCUCAAUCCCAAGCUAAAUAU